RNAcentral lists this ribosomal RNA (468 nucleotides) under uncultured bacterium. RNAcentral's name for it is "partial 16S ribosomal RNA". It matches the Rfam family "Bacterial small subunit ribosomal RNA", at positions 28 to 507 of the family's 1533-position model. The record is from RNAcentral.
GACGAACGCUGGCGGCGUGCUUAACACAUGCAAGUCGAACGGUAAGGCCCUUCUUUUUUGGGGUGCUCGAGUGGCGAACGGGUGAUUCACACGUGAGUAACCUGCCCUUGACUUUAGGAUAACUUCAGGAAACUUGGUCUAAUACCGGAUAGGAGCUCCUGCUGCAUGGUUGUGGUUGGAUCGUUUCGGCGGUUGGGGCUGGACUCGCGGCUUAUCAGCUUGUUGGUGGGGUAGUGGCUGACCAAGGCUUGGACGGGUAGUCGGCAUGUGAGGGUGGACGGCGACAAGGGGACUGAGAGACGGACCAGACUCGUACGGGAGGCAGCAGGGGGGAAUAUGACACAAUGAGCGGAAGUCUGAGGCAGCAACGCCGGGUGCGGGAUGACGGCCUUCGGGUUGUAAACCGCUUUCGCCUAUGAAGAAGCGGGAGUGACGGUAAUGGAUAAAGAAGCACCGGCUAACUACGUG